This 321-nucleotide ribosomal RNA is filed under the name uncultured bacterium. Its description in RNAcentral is "bacterial SSU rRNA". It matches the Rfam family "Bacterial small subunit ribosomal RNA", at positions 30 to 351 of the family's 1533-position model. The record is from RNAcentral.
AUUGAACGCUGGCGGCAUGCCUUACACAUGCAAGUCGAACGGCAGCACGGGAGCAAUCCUGGUGGCGAGUGGCGAACGGGUGAGUAAUGUAUCGGAACGUACCUUUCAGUGGGGGAUAACGUAGCGAAAGUUACGCUAAUACCGCAUAUUCUGUGAGCAGGAAAGCAGGGGAUCGCAAGACCUUGCGCUGAUUGAGCGGCCGAUAUCAGAUUAGCUAGUUGGUGAGGUAAAGGCUCACCAAGGCGACGAUCUGUAGCGGGUCUGAGAGGAUGAUCCGCCACACUGGAACUGAGACACGGUCCAGACUCCUACGGGAGGCAA